CCUACGGGAGGCAGCAGUAGGGAAUCUUCCACAAUGGGCGCAAGCCUGAUGGAGCAACACCGCGUGAGUGAAGAAGGGUUUCGGCUCGUAAAGCUCUGUUGUUGGAGAAGAACGUGCGUGAUAGUAACUGUUCACGCAGUGACGGUAUCCAACCAGAAAGUCACGGCUAACUACGUGCCAGCAGCCGCGGUAAUACGUAGGUGGCAAGCGUUAUCCGGAUUUAUUGGGCGUAAAGCGAGCGCAGGCGGUUGGUUAGGUCUGAGGUGAAAUCCUUCGGCUUAACCGAAGAAGUGCAUCGGAAAGCGGGCGACUGGAGUGCAGAAGAGAACAGGGAAACUCCAUGGGUAGAGGUGGAAGGCG
This 360-nucleotide ribosomal RNA is filed under the name uncultured bacterium. Its description in RNAcentral is "partial 16S ribosomal RNA". It matches the Rfam family "Bacterial small subunit ribosomal RNA", at positions 338 to 690 of the family's 1533-position model. The record is from RNAcentral.